This 427-nucleotide ribosomal RNA is filed under the name uncultured Massilia sp. RNAcentral's name for it is "bacterial SSU rRNA". It matches the Rfam family "Bacterial small subunit ribosomal RNA", at positions 355 to 774 of the family's 1533-position model. Lineage: Bacteria; Pseudomonadati; Pseudomonadota; Betaproteobacteria; Burkholderiales; Oxalobacteraceae. The record is from RNAcentral.
UGGGGAAUUUUGGACAAUGGGGGCAACCCUGAUCCAGCAAUGCCGCGUGAGUGAAGAAGGCCUUCGGGUUGUAAAGCUCUUUUGUCAGGGAAGAAACGGGUGGAGCUAAUAUCUCCAUCUAAUGACGGUACCUGAAGAAUAAGCACCGGCUAACUACGUGCCAGCAGCCGCGGUAAUACGUAGGGUGCAAGCGUUAAUCGGAAUUACUGGGCGUAAAGCGUGCGCAGGCGGUUUUGUAAGUCUGUUGUGAAAUCCCCGGGCUUAACCUGGGAAUGGCAAUGGAGACUGCAAGGCUAGAGUUUGGCAGAGGGGGGUAGAAUUCCACGUGUAGCAGUGAAAUGCGUAGAGAUGUGGAGGAACACCGAUGGCGAAGGCAGCCCCCUGGGUCAAGACUGACGCUCAUGCACGAAAGCGUGGGGAGCAAACA